This 5456-nucleotide long non-coding RNA is filed under the name Hordeum vulgare. Its description in RNAcentral is "long non-coding RNA (HVUL_LNC006312)". Lineage: Eukaryota; Viridiplantae; Streptophyta; Magnoliopsida; Poales; Poaceae. The record is from RNAcentral.
UUCUCUUUGGAAACAUUUCGUUGGUGUUUACUUGAAUGAUUUCUGCCAAUCUGUGUAUCAGGGACGUCACCACAGUGUUCCCAAGUUUUGUUUUCAAUACCGCGGUUGAAGACUAAAUAUGACAAUACUUGUACUUGAUGGUGACAAGUUGGCUGCUGAUUGUGUCAGCCGUUGAAAAUUGGGAUGCUGAGAAACAGGGCAACCAUGUUAAGGUACUGAAGCAUUGCCAUCGAUGGCUGUUGCUUCAGGAUGGCCAUCUGAUAAUCAACUCGGCAACUGAAGAGUCCCAUUCAUGAUGACAAAUUGGCAGCUAACGGCGUCCUGGUAUGCCUGUGACUUCCCCGCAUUGUGUUGUAACUGUAUAUACACCAUUCCUUAAGCUCUCAGAAGCACAGGACAGCGCUAGGUACAUACUGUAGUAGAUAUGAGGAAUCUAAGUUCCUGAAAUGCCAGCCAGUUUCGCGACCAGUCCCGUGCAAUUUUGUGAAUGCUAACUUGUGAUGUUGUAGAGUCCAUUGUCUAGGCUAUCUUAGUGCCAAACAUGACAUGGCCUAGCCAUGAUUGCUGUAUAUAUAAUCGAAAACCUUUCCGAGACGCAUGCUUUUGCUUGUUGAUUGCUACAACGUAAUGCCGAGCCUAUCUGUCAAGUGUUUGUUCCUGAACCAAUCAUCUCAUCUGUGAUGGCGACAGUGGAUUUUUUUUUGUCCCUUGGGUGAUGUAAGGGACAGUUCUGUAUGUGCCAUCAUGAAUGUUGUUUGAUUUUAGAAUGAUUUUCCUAUUGUUUCGCACUACAUCUCAGAAAAAAAAAAUCUACUCAAAUCUUUUGGAAAGAUUCAUGGCAUCAAAACAAAUAUUUUAGAAUCCUACGAAUGCACGGAACAUGAACUAUAGGAGGCCAUAUGCGGCGAAAACAAUACAAAACUACCUACCACGCAAUGCUGCUUGUGUCAAUAUGCAUGGAAAAACCUUUCCGUUGAUAAGAACAAAACAGGGCGGGCCUAGGUGAGGUAGCAUCUAUCGUCCUUUUUUUUGUUCCUUUUUGCGGGGAAGGUAGUAUCCGCCAUAUCAUACACGGUCCCUUUCUUGAUGGAACAUCAAGGUUUAGAAAGAUAUGGUUAGUUAGAUGGAUUGUGUAAGUGGAUAACGUGAGAAUGGAUGCCCAGCAAUCAUGUGUUCUCGGACCUUUGGAGUUUGUGACCAAUGGACGCCACCGGUGGUUGCACGCAUACAUCACCGUGAGUCGAAAAGGACAAAGAAAAAAGGGAGAGGAAAAAGAAUACCUAACACCUCAAAGCCUAUUCCAAGCCUCAAGCGCCGGUUAUAGUGGAAUUCACUAACCGGCGCACACAACUUACUGCACUAUAUAUAAAAAUGGGCCGGCCAAUGCACGUUUUGUUUUCACCGGUUUUAUCUGGGACCGUUUUGAAUAAUUUUACUGACGGUGUUUAUGAUUCACGAAUUCAUGAACAUUCUCAAAUUUCUGAACACCAUUCAGUUUGCGAUCAUUUUUUUAAUACACAUUCAUUUUUAGCUAGAUGGAUAUUUUUAAAUCCGCAAAAAAUUUCUCACAUUGUAAUUUUUUUUCCUAAUUCAUAAAUGUUUUGAAAUUUCAAUAGCAUCUUAAAAAUAAAAAAUGUCCAAUUAAUGCGCAAUAUUUAAUAUUCUUUAUCAUUUUUUUUAAUUUGCUCGUAACUUUUCAAUAUGCACUCGUUGUUAAAAUUCGUCAGCCUUCUUAUAUCAACAAACACUUCUCCAAUUUGUGAACAUUUUUCUGAAUUUACGGAUGCUUGUAAAAUUAACAAACAUCUUUCACUGAAAAUAUGGAAUUUGUGAGCAAAUUGUAAAAUUCAUGAACAUUUUUUAAACUUCAUGAACAGUUUUAUAAAGUUAAGAAAACAAUUCAAAAUCAUGAAUAGUUUUGAAUUCAUGACAUUUUCAAAGUUCAGAAUAUGUUCAAAAUUCAUGUACAUUUUUUAGAUAUCUUAUUUUUCUCAAAAUUGUCAAAUUAUUUUUAAGUUUGUUAAAACUGAGAGGGCUGGUAUUGUUUUAAGCUGGUAGCUGAUAGUUUUUUAGCCUGUAACUAGCAUUUAGUUGAAGCUAGCGCCAUGAAAAAGCUAUUGUAGGUUUUUGUAGUCUUUUUCUUAUGGAAUUUUAUUUUCCAUUUUCUUCUUUUAUUUUUGGUUUCUUUUUUGACUUCUAGAAAUUCUUGAACGUCUUUUUGGAUUUCAUGAACAUUAUUGAAUUUUUUAAUCAAAUUUUACAUUUGAUAAUAUUGCUUCUUUUUUAGAUAUUUUGGAACUUCAAGAACAUUUCCAAAAAUAAUUUUUGUACUGGUUCUAAAAGAGAGAACAAAAGAUGACAACAACGUCGCUGGUCGGUGCCGACGCCGUUUUUUAGGAUUCCAACCCACCCGCAACCGCCUACACCUCUGCUAUUAAAUCUUGCACCUCCUCGUCAACGAUGUUGUCCUGCAUGUCAUCCCACAACUCGUGGUGAGCACUUUACACCGCCUUGUGGUAGGUCUAGACGAAGUUGAAGAGGAAGAUAUUGUGGUCCAUGAGCUCCUCCUGCUCCUCCUCCUUGAGAUCAGGCUUGUCUACUGCAUGAGGCUCAAGCUUUGGGUUGGAGAUCGAGGUGGUCGCUCUGCCUCCGGAAGCUCUUUGGAGUUGAGUGAGAUGUAGGCGGAGGACAAAUUCUAGAAUGGUCUGGACUAUCCUUAUUCUUGGAAGAUUCUUGAACAUUUUUAUCUACUAGUUUACAAGUUUUUUUCCAAAUAUUAACUUCAACAUUUUUUCAAAUUUCUGAACAUCCAUAUAAAAUAACAUAUUUUUAUAUUCAUGAAAGAUCCAAAUAUGUGAUGGCCGCAAGUUUGCUGUUGAUUGUGUGAGCCGUCGAAAACUGGGAUGAUAAGAAACAGAACAUCCAUGUUCUCCACUUACUGAAGAAUUGCCGUUGGCGACUGUUGCUUCAGGAUGGCUAUCUGAUAAUCAACUCAGCAGCGAGCCGAGUCCGGUUCAUGAUGCAAAAUUUGCAAUUAAUGGUGCCUGGUAUGCCUGUUGUUGUUCCUCAUUGUGUUGUGACUGUAUUGACACCAUCGGGGAGAGGAUCAUGUGAUACCACACCAGAUGCUCCCAUAAUACCAACUUCAAAAAAUCAAUUUUCGCUGUUCCAAAAAAAUCUGAAAUUUUUCGUGAAUAUUCACAACAUAUGUGACUACAACCCAUAAAAAAAUUAGUUCCAAAUUUGAAACUCACGCUGAGAAACAAAAAUGACAAAUCUAGCAUGAAUAGUGUCACAAAAGGACAGAAGCAAAAUUGAUACUAUUCACAUCUGAAUUUAUCUUUUUUGUUUCUCAAUGCACACUUCAAAUUUGGCGCUGAAAUUUUAGGGGAUAUAGACACGUUCCUUGUGACCAUUCAUGAUUUUUUUGAAAUGGUAUCAUGGAGCUUUUAAGGUGUGGUAUCACUGGAUAUUCUCCCUACACCAUCCCUUCAGCUCUCAGAAGCACAGGACAGCUGUACAAAUAUAGAUAUUUGGAAUUGAAGUUCCUCGAAUGCCGCCAGUUUUGGGAUUAGUGGUUAGUUUCGUCAAGUGCCUUCAUGCUUAGUAUGCAAUUUUCUGAGACUUGUGGUGUUUUCCCGUCAUUCAUUAGCCAUGAUUGCUGUAUAUAUAUAUAGUCGAAAACCUUUCCGAGACGCAUGCUUUUGCUUGUUGAUAUCAUAGCUGCAAUGCAAUACGAUAUUCUGCCAAGUGCUUGUUUGUAAACCACUCAUCCCAUCUGUGAUGUUGACAGUGAUCUUACUUUUGUCCGUUGGGUGAUGCAAGGGACAGUUCUUUAUGCACUUGGUAAUGCUAAUCAUAGAUGUGAACCACAGAUGUGAACUUUAGUAUUCUUUCGAUUGGGAUAAGGUUCCACAGUAUGUUGAUAGAUUCACCAGUGUGCAUCCCUUUCAGAGUGCCAAGUCACACACGAGUCACCAUUUUUUGCAGCACUGUCCUGAAAAAAGCAUCAGGCUUACUUGGCACUAUUACUAGUUUGCUUACUAAAUAUGCCGCGUUAGCACUUUGCAAAGUAUUGAAAGAAAGAGGAGAAAGCUUAAGUGUGGUUCGGACACCUCAUAUCAUGUUUGUUUUGUGUGAACUCAAGUGGCAUCAUGCUUUCAGGCAUUUCAUGGAACACCUCUUGUGUAUAGGAAGGGAAAACAAACUAACACUCACCUCCCACCUUCUAUGAGAAGAAAAAACAGAGAAGAGGGCGGCAGGGGUGAGGGGAUAUAUAUAGGUAAAUGUUUAGUCCCGACUGGGCUCUCAAACCGGGACUGAAGACAUACCUUUAGUCCAGUUUCGGUUGGUGUCUGCAACCGGGACUAAGGGUCCCAUUCGAACCGGGACUGAUGCCUGUCGAGCCCCGUCCAACGUCCUAGCCGCUCGAACCGAGACUAAUGCUCACAUUAAGGCCGGUUUGUAACGCGACCAGGACUAUUGAUUAGAAUGAAAACCCUGUUUUCUACUAGUGACGGGAGCCUUCAGAGGCAUGGAAGGUACCAUGGAAGGCUUCGAAGCUACCAUGGAUGAUUUGAGUGGCAUGGGUGGCAUGGGAGGCAUGGGAGGUAUGACCGGCAUGGGAGGCGUGGGAACGCCUAUGGGAGGAAUUGGAGGUAUGGCCCGUAUAGGAGGCAUGAGAGCACCUACAGGAGGCAUUGGAGGCAUGGCCGACAUGGAAGGCUUGGGAGCUACCAUGAAAGGCAUGAGAUUUGUGUCUCUCUUGAAAAUCAUGGAAGCACCUCGCAUGAUGUCUCACAUGUCUUCGCAUGGUGCCUCACAUGCCUUGAAAGAUAAUGCGAACACCAUUCAAGGUUCCAAUGACACGAAGAUGCUUGAAGAUGGUGAAGAGGAAAAAGAGGAGGAGGACGGGAACGAUGAAGAGGAGGAUGAAGAGAAGCAAGAAGAUGGACAAUGAUUUCACUGGUGGUAGAUGUUUCAUUCGUUUGUGUGAACUUAUUUGUCAUGAACUUGCUUGUGGUAGAUGAUUUCACUGGUAGAAAACAGGGCAUCAGUCCCGGUUCCUAAGGGCCUUUAGUCCCGGUUCUGCAACCGGGACUAAGCAAUCGGGACAAAAGGCCUCAACUUUUAGUCCCGGUUGUGUUACGAAUCGGGACUAAAGGAGCUCCAUGUGGCCGUUGCGGGAUGCCCAAGCAGGAUGAUCUUUAGUCCCAGUUGGUAACACCGACCAGGACUAAAAGGCAGCCACGCAUCAGCACCUGCGAAGGCUAUGUUUUUUUUGUGAGAUGGGGGUUUAUCCGUGACCGCGUGGGUCGACCGACGCGUUACACAUAUUGAUAUACAACAUCAAUAUAAAUUAUGGAAGAACAAUAUCCAACUUCAGUACAAAUUCGCAACAUCGUAUUUUUCUCUAAUUCAACCUGGUCUAUUGCAUCCACCUAAUUUGUACUGGU